GCCUCAGUCUUUCGCCGUGUCUCGCCGUCCCUCGCCAUCGCACGCCAUCGCACGCCACCGCACCCCUUCUCUCGAAAUCUGUAGACAUCUUGAUUUUUCCCACGCUGUCUGUCAGGUCUCCGCCGCCACUCGACGCCAGGGCGCCGGGCCUUGUGGGUUGUGCUGCUCCUCGGACGGCUUCGCACCAGCCAGCGCCCCCUCUCUCCUGCAGCACUCUGAUCUGCACCCCCUGAGGGGCUUCCACUGUCCGCGGGGUGAGAAUGCCCCUGGGAGUGUCACAUGACUGUCACCCCAUGUGUGUGAGAGGUGUCCUCUGGGAGAGCAUGGACCCUGAGGUCCCAGGAUUGUCAGCUGACCUCUGUCCUGUGUGCCCAGUGGCCCCAGGUGACGUGUCUUCAAGAAGAGGCUGAGCUGUGGUGCUUGUAAGAGUCAUGUGCAUGACUCCUGGGGCUUGGAUGAUGUAGGGGAAGCAAGGUGAAAGUGGUAUCCCGUGGUUCCACGUUCUGUCCUGCCGUGGAGCUGUCCCUCACAUGCCUUCAGUGGCUGUUGCGGAGGAAGAGCCUCCGGAAAUCUGCGUGGGUCUCAGCCUUAGAUCCAAGGACAGUCCAAGGAAGUCCUAAGACCGUGGAGUUGGUGACCUGGGAUCUGGGUUUGCUGGUAUUUCUCACCAUGAAUCUCUUGGUGGUGUUUGUGGGCACCAGAGGGGCAGAGAAUAGAGAGUGAGGCUACCACAUGAAGCGUCACCAGAGCUGCUCCCUGCUGCCUGCUCAGAGCACCCUGGAUCCACUGUUCAAUCUGCACAAGAUUCGGGGUCCAGACAUGGGAGACUUCAGCUGCCUCGGAGGACCGUGGACAGGGAAGGCCAGCCUCGCAUCCCUCUGUCCAUGCCUGGAAUGACUUAACCAAGAGUUUUAUUCUUGAAUUUGUAGCUGUUGUUCACUUUUUACCCACCCAUUCAAUAAACCUUACAGAAUUGCUCCA
RNAcentral lists this long non-coding RNA (981 nucleotides) under Pongo abelii (Sumatran orangutan). RNAcentral's name for it is "lincRNA". The record is from RNAcentral. Lineage: Eukaryota; Metazoa; Chordata; Mammalia; Primates; Hominidae.